UACGUAGGGUGCAAGCGUUAAUCGGAAUUACUGGGCGUAAAGCGUGCGCAGGCGGUUGUGCAAGACCGAUGUGAAAGCCCCGGGCUUAACCUGGGAACGGCAUUUGUGACUGCACGGCUAGAGUGUGUCAGAGGGGGGUAGAAUUCCACGUGUAGCAGUGAAAUGCGUAGAGAUGUGGAGGGACACCGAUGGCGAAGGCAGCCCCCUGGGUCAAGAUUGACGCUCAUGCACGAAAGCGUGGGGAGCAAACAGG
This 253-nucleotide ribosomal RNA is filed under the name uncultured bacterium. Its description in RNAcentral is "partial 16S ribosomal RNA". It matches the Rfam family "Bacterial small subunit ribosomal RNA", at positions 524 to 776 of the family's 1533-position model. The record is from RNAcentral.